This 228-nucleotide long non-coding RNA is filed under the name Musa acuminata (dwarf banana). RNAcentral's name for it is "long non-coding RNA (MACU_LNC003956)". The record is from RNAcentral. Lineage: Eukaryota; Viridiplantae; Streptophyta; Magnoliopsida; Zingiberales; Musaceae.
GCCAAUAUAACCCCUUCGUAGAUCGCUCCCGAAGUUCUUUUCUUAUCAAACUUUUUAGUGCAGGGACUUGGUUGAUAGUAGGGGGAUGAUAAGACCCUAAAGUCUUAUCAUAAAAGAAAUGAAAGAAAUGAUAAGGCUCUAAUACCAAAUGAUAAGACUCUAAAGUCUUAUCGUCGCUCUGAUACCAAAUGAUAAGACCCUAAGGUCUUAUCGUGGAAGAAAGGGGAG